RNAcentral lists this ribosomal RNA (294 nucleotides) under uncultured bacterium. Its description in RNAcentral is "partial 16S ribosomal RNA". It matches the Rfam family "Bacterial small subunit ribosomal RNA", at positions 333 to 644 of the family's 1533-position model. The record is from RNAcentral.
UCUGUCCUACGGGGCGCAGCAGUCGGGAAUAUUGCGCAAUGGAGGAAACUCUGACGCGGUGACGCCGCGUGCAGGAAGAAGGUUUUCGGAUUGUAAACUGCUUUAGACAGGGAAGAUAAUGACAGUACCUGUAGAAUAAGCUCCGGCUAACUACGUGCCAGCAGCCGCGGUAAUACGUAGGGAGCAAGCGUUAUCCGGAUUUAUUGGGUGUAAAGGGUGCGUAGACGGGAAUGCAAGUUAGUUGUGAAAUCCCUCGGCUUAACUGAGGAACCGCAACUAAAACUACAUUUCUUG